GCGCAUUAAGUCCCUCAACUUCCCCUUAUGCGUCUCAGCGUACCCAUUGCUCAUUGGCAUACACAUUUUAGGCUCUCGAUUCGCUUGGGCUUUAAUUCUUAAUCAACCGAUCAUUCCGCUCGCUCUGUCUCUCUACCAUUUUCUGAUUGCUAAAGGCUCGAAUCAAUCAUCAAUACAGAGUAUCAAGGAUAAUAAUCAACGGGCACCUUCCUUCAUUUUUCUAGAAAGUGGGCUCUAUACUAAUAUUGGGCAGAUAGCCGGUUGUGAUUCUGAAGAAUCUGCUAGCAAUUGAGACUCACAGGCCUCUCUAUUCAUUAUCAGAACCAAGAACAACUCAGGCAAAAGAAGCAGUCGUUAAGAAUAAAAAAUUUACACACGAAAGAAACGAGAGAAAGCCAUGUUUGUUCCAAGCAGGUUAGCUAUGUGCUUCUUUAAAAAUAAAUUGAUUCCCAUCUUGUCUCCCUUCUCUCAUCUUCUUUCUUAGUUAGUUAGUAAUAACCAAUGACUAACCAAGUAAUCCAACCAGAAUUAUAUAUUUAAUAUAUGUAAUUGUUUAUUGUCUGA
Molecule: long non-coding RNA, 564 nt
Organism: Hevea brasiliensis (rubber tree)
Lineage: Eukaryota; Viridiplantae; Streptophyta; Magnoliopsida; Malpighiales; Euphorbiaceae
Exons: 5
Source: RefSeq, a predicted model, not a curated record